This 466-nucleotide ribosomal RNA is filed under the name uncultured bacterium. RNAcentral's name for it is "partial 16S ribosomal RNA". It matches the Rfam family "Bacterial small subunit ribosomal RNA", at positions 28 to 507 of the family's 1533-position model. The record is from RNAcentral.
GAUGAACGCUGGCGGCGUGCUUAACACAUGCAAGUCGAACGAUGAAGCCCAGCUUGCUGGGUGGAUUAGUGUCGCACGGGUGAGUAACACGCGAGUAACCUGCCCUUAACUCUGGGAUAAGCCUGCGAAACUGGGUCUAAUACCGGAUAGGAGCGCCUACCGCACGGUGGGUGUUGGAGAGAUUUAGCGGUUUUGGAUGGACUCGCGGCUUAUCAGCUUGUUGGUGGGGUAGUGGCUCACCAAGGCGAUGACGGGUAGCCGGCCUGAGAGGGUGACCGGCCACACUGGGACUGAGACACGGCCCAGACUCCUACGGGAGGCAGCAGUGGGGAAUAUUGCACAAUGGGCGGAAGCCUGAUGCAGCGACGCCGCGUGCGGGAUGACGGCCUUCGGGUUGUAAACCUCUUUCGGUAGGGAAGAAGCGAAAGUGACGGUACCUGCAGAAGAAGCACCGGCUAACUACGUG